GCCUACAACCAUAUCACCCUGAAUGCGCCCGAUCUCGUCUGAUCUCGGAAGCUAAGCAUGGUCGAGCCUGGUUAGUAUUUGGAUGGGAGACUGCCUGGGAAUACCAGGUGUUGUAGGCU
Petromyzon marinus (sea lamprey) is the source of this 119-nucleotide ribosomal RNA. The record is from Ensembl. Lineage: Eukaryota; Metazoa; Chordata; Hyperoartia; Petromyzontiformes; Petromyzontidae.